Molecule: unclassified non-coding RNA, 398 nt
Filed under: uncultured fungus
Lineage: Eukaryota; Fungi
Description: partial contains 5.8S ribosomal RNA and internal transcribed spacer 2
Rfam family: 5.8S ribosomal RNA (bases 1-133)
Source: RNAcentral
UGGCUCUCGCAUCGAUGAAGAACGCAGCGAAAUGCGAUAAGUAAUGUGAAUUGCAGAAUUCAGUGAAUCAUCGAAUCUUUGAACGCACCUUGCGCUCCUUGGUAUUCCUCGGAGCAUGCCUGUUUGAGUAUCAUGAAAUUCUCAAAGUCAAGUCUUUUGUUAAUUCGAUCGGCUUCUGCUUUGGAUCUGGAGGUUUGCAGAUUUCACAGUCCGCUCCUCUUAAAUAAAUUAGCUGGAUCUCCAUGAACUUGGUUCCACUCGGCGUGAUAAGUAUCACUCGCUGAGGACACCCGUUAAAAAGGUGGCCAGGCUUGAGGAUGAGCCGCUUCUAACCGUCCAUUUUAAUUGGACAAUUUUAUUUACGAUCUGAUCUCAAAUCAGGUAGGACUACCCGCUGA